Molecule: ribosomal RNA, 351 nt
Filed under: Triticum aestivum (bread wheat)
Lineage: Eukaryota; Viridiplantae; Streptophyta; Magnoliopsida; Poales; Poaceae
Description: partial small subunit ribosomal RNA
Source: RNAcentral
AUGCCCCAGCCGCCACAUCGUCAUGCCCGAUGCCACCUCCUCCAAACCUAUCGCCUGCAGAGCAAAAUGGGAUCCUGCAGAAGAGCUCGCCUCUUCCCUGACAAAAGAGACGAGGCGGCCGCUCGGGCGAUGCGGUGUGGGAUCCGUCACUUCGCUCAGUACGGGACCAUGCACGCCCAGCAAAAGCCCACGAGAGCGAGAGGGGAAGAGCGGGAAGGGGAGAGGGGAGGGCGUCAACCAGGCACGGGAAGGGAGGAGGGAAGGCGCGAAUCAAGGGAAGGGGCGAAGCAGAGGGGAAGGCCGCACACCCUCGUUCUCAGCCCGCCAUCGACACCGUCUUGCCUGAUCUGA